Molecule: non-coding RNA, 69 nt
Organism: Podarcis lilfordi (Lilford's wall lizard)
Lineage: Eukaryota; Metazoa; Chordata; Lepidosauria; Squamata; Lacertidae
Source: the annotation of a GenBank genome assembly
GUGGUAGCUCAGCGACAGAGAAUCUGCCUUGCAUGCAGAACCUCCCAGGUUCAGACCCUGGCAUCUCCC